GCUGGGCGCAGUGGCGCGUGCCUGUAGUCCCAGCUACUCGGGAGGCUGAGGUGGGAGGAUCGCUUGAGCCCAGGAGUUCUGGGUUGCAGUGCGCUAUGCCGAUCGGGUGUCUGCACUAAGUUCAGCAUCAAUAUGGUGAUCUCCCAGGAGGGGGAGACCACCAGGAUGCUUAAGGAGGGGUGAACCAGCCCAGGUUGGAAACGGAGCAGGUCAAAACUUCCGUGCUGAUCAGUAGCGGGGUCGCGCAAGUGAACCACCACCUCGGCCCCCAAAGUGCUGGGAUUACAGGCUUGAGCCUCCA
This 301-nucleotide signal recognition particle RNA is filed under the name Cebus imitator (Panamanian white-faced capuchin). RNAcentral describes it as "Metazoan signal recognition particle RNA (ENSCCAG00000011228.1)". It matches the Rfam family "Metazoan signal recognition particle RNA". From Rfam's summary of the family: The signal recognition particle (SRP) is a universally conserved ribonucleoprotein. It is involved in the co-translational targeting of proteins to membranes. The record is from Rfam by way of RNAcentral. Lineage: Eukaryota; Metazoa; Chordata; Mammalia; Primates; Cebidae.